This is a long non-coding RNA of Dunckerocampus dactyliophorus (ringed pipefish), 824 nucleotides long. RefSeq lists it as uncharacterized. The record is from RefSeq and is a predicted model, not a curated record. The transcript is spliced from 3 exons. NCBI's taxonomy places the organism in Eukaryota, Metazoa, Chordata, Actinopteri, Syngnathiformes, Syngnathidae.
CGUGUGAGCGCGGCGUACUCGUCUCUCACGCGUGAACCUCGCCCCCGCGUGUAGACUUGCCGCCUAUCGCGCGCCUCGACACACGCACGGACGCUGAAUUGCAACGUGAAGGAUGAUCACAUGAUCAGGACGGCCCAUAAGUCGACGAUGAAGGAGGAGAAGAAGAAGAGCAGCUGCAUAUUCGGCAUGUAAGCCAAAAGUCUGCACUGCUUCUGUUGCACAUUUGUGCACUGCAACAUUUAACAUCAGCAAAAGACAAACCACCACUUUUGCAUACUUUCAGGAAUUAGGAAUCUCACAUAUAAUCACUGAAAAACAUCAUUUUCACUCCCUUGUAUGAAUUAAAUAGUGACAAAAUGACAGGCAUUAAGUGUUAAUAGUCUUGACAAAAACAUACACACUAACCAGACAAAGCAAUGGCAUCUAAUAUAUGAAAUGUACGAAAAAAACAUCUGCCUUAACAAGGAUGACUAAUGCUCACAUUUAAUUGAUACUGUCAAACAUUCAUUUAACAAUAUGUUUAGUUAUGUGCAUAUAAGUUGCAACAUACACCAUGCAUUAUUUAAAAAAAAAGGUAGAAACAGCUCUCAGUAUGGUGUCGUACAUUUGUACACCAUUGCAAACUACUACCACAAGAAAAAACAUAAAACUAAGCAUUGUUGUCUUUAUAAAGUCACGAUUUUUGUAUUGGAUUCCAUUUGCCUUAUCUGUAAGUAGUCUUGCGUAUGUAAGUAAUUUGAAUAAAUCAGAAAUCGUGGAGAAGGAGGUGUACAUUAUUGCUAUGGUAAUGGGUGCUUGGCAACACUGCAGAUGCUCAGGUAACG